CCUACGGGGGGCAGCAGUGGGGAAUAUUGCACAAUGGGCGCAAGCCUGAUGCAGCGACGCCGCGUGAGCGAAGAAGUAUUUCGGUAUGUAAAGCUCUAUCAGCAGGGAAGAAAAUGACGGUACCUGACUAAGAAGCUCCGGCUAAAUACGUGCCAGCAGCCGCGGUAAUACGUAUGGAGCAAGCGUUAUCCGGAAUUACUGGGUGUAAAGGGAGCGUAGACGGAUGUGCAAGUCUGAUGUGAAAGGCGGGGGCUCAACCCCUGGACUGCAUUGGAAACUGUAAAUCUUGAGUGCCGGAGAGGUAA
This 305-nucleotide ribosomal RNA is filed under the name uncultured bacterium. RNAcentral describes it as "bacterial SSU rRNA". It matches the Rfam family "Bacterial small subunit ribosomal RNA", at positions 338 to 660 of the family's 1533-position model. The record is from RNAcentral.